AGCAGUCCACGUUGUAGGGGAUGAGAGGGAGAUGGGGUGCAGGGAUAAGACACAGUUACAAGGACACACUCCUCUGGUCUGUUUCCUCAGAGAGGCACUGGUGCACAGUACCAUCCUAUUCUAAAAGGGAGGGAUAAGACAGUAACAAGAAAAGAUUAGACAGAAUCAAGACUCUGUCGGGAGGAUGAACAUUGAAUCCUGUAGCCUCUGCCUGGCAUCUUGGCCAUGUGCUUUUUGUGAUACAAGAUCAGAAAGGCAGGCAACCCUGUCCCGUCAGCAUGGCUACCUCAAGACUCCUCUCUUGGGCUGGCUAUCCUUAACUGCUUUUUCCUUUGGGAAGGAUUUCAUAUUCCUAGUCAUCUUUUAUCUUGUGGGACUCCAUUAUAUCUACUCCUUCCCUCUCAUAGCUUCAUAUACCAUCCUCUUAGGGGCUGGAGUCCUAUGGAGACGCCAACCCUGUCACACAUUUAGUGCCCCCACCCCCGGCUUUCUGUUAUAAUCUUGAUAGAGGACUUUAUGACCCCAGAA
Molecule: long non-coding RNA, 528 nt
Filed under: Rattus norvegicus (Norway rat)
Lineage: Eukaryota; Metazoa; Chordata; Mammalia; Rodentia; Muridae
Description: long non-coding RNA NONRATT027080
Source: RNAcentral